UACGUAGGUGGCUAGCGUUGUUCGGAAUUACUGGGCGUAAAGCGCACGUAGGCGGAUUUGUAAGUCAGGGGUGAAAUCCCGGAGCUCAACUUCGGAACUGCCUUUGAUACUGCAAGUCUCGAGUCCGGAAGAGGUGAGUGGAACUCCUAGUGUAGAGGUGAAAUUCGUAGAUAUUAGGAAGAACACCAGUGGCGAAGGCGGCUCACUGGUCCGGUACUGACGCUGAGGUGCGAAAGCGUGGGGAGCAAACAGG
Molecule: ribosomal RNA, 253 nt
Filed under: uncultured bacterium
Lineage: Bacteria
Description: partial 16S ribosomal RNA
Rfam family: Bacterial small subunit ribosomal RNA
Source: RNAcentral